This is a small nuclear RNA of Mastomys coucha (southern multimammate mouse), 157 nucleotides long. RefSeq annotates it as U1 spliceosomal RNA. NCBI's taxonomy places the organism in Eukaryota, Metazoa, Chordata, Mammalia, Rodentia, Muridae. The transcript has a single exon. The record is from RefSeq and is a predicted model, not a curated record.
AAACUAUCCCAGAUACCAUAAGCAUAAAGGUAGCCUCAGGGCGAGGCUUAUCCAUUGCACUCCAGAUGUGCUGAUCCCUGCGAUUUCCCCAAAUGCUGCAGGGAGCUCUGACUGCCUAAUUUGUGGUAGUGGGGGACUGCGUUCGUGCUCUCUCUCC